Corapipo altera (White-ruffed manakin) is the source of this 1888-nucleotide long non-coding RNA. RefSeq lists it as uncharacterized. Lineage: Eukaryota; Metazoa; Chordata; Aves; Passeriformes; Pipridae. The transcript is spliced from 5 exons. The record is from RefSeq and is a predicted model, not a curated record.
GGAUGAAGAAAGCAAUAGACUAACCUGGAUCCAUGCUUGCUAAAUUUCCAAGAGGAUUUUUGUGGGAGAAGUGGAGCUGCUAGUGGAACGACGCAGAUCUUUGGAGGCAGCCUGUGAGACUGCUGGAAAGGACAGAGGAAUGCUUGCCUCUACCACAUAACAUCUUCUGGUGGAUGGGUAGCAUCUUUGAAUAAGGAACCAAAGAAUUUGCAAGGAUUGGUAAAAGAUUUUCAAAGAAAAUUUUGAAGGAAAGCUGCUGUAAAUCAGUGGAGUCUCAGUCUUGAAACACAGAGAUGGAAGUAACAUAGCAGAUUUCUGCAUCUACACAUCUUAUGUAAAAGCUAUGAAAGAACAAGCAAUUGUGAGCAAGAGGCUGGUGAAAUUUGAGGAUUCAGUCGAACUCUGAGACUGCAGAGCGCUGGCGGCUGAGUUAAAGAUUGGAGGUUUUCUUAAAGCUGAGUAAGACCAAACCUUGUCUAGGAAACUCCUGCUGGUUGACCUCAGUGUCCUUCAUGGGUCUGCUGGGCACAGACUAACGCUGCAGAACCUUCCUCUGAACAGCAGGCCUGAAUCUCUUUAUUCCAAGGUUCACUUGGCACAGCAGGCAGGCAGGGCUGGAACUGCCUGUUUCUCAGGCUGCUUUGACUCAUGCGUGGGGGCAGCUGUGGUGGGAUCAGAUGGCUCUGUGCCACGUAUGGACUAGUGCAGUGUGGAGACGUCCUGUGCCACACUGCGUUGUCCUGUGCCACACUGUUGUCCUGUGCCACACUGCGUUGUCCUGUGCCACGCUGCAUUCCUGCUGCAUCCUCCGUGCCGGCACUGGAGGGAUGUGAUGAGGGUAAUAGUAGGGUAAAAGAGCUUUUUACAAGUCAGUAUUAUUCUCCAGCCUGUUUGAGCCUUCCAGGCAAAAUGCCAAGGGAAGAGAAUUAAGUCUGGUGCUUGUCUGUGAAUUUAGCUCAGGAAUUACUUGUGAAGGGAACCUCACUACCGCUGACCUAUUAUGGUGCACAUGGGAAGUUGACACCUUAGAGAAUUCAUUGACCAGCCUGUUUGUUGCAGACUGUUUCAUUCAUGAGCUAUUGAGAGACUGAAAUGGCUUUUAAAACAAAGAUUAUUGAGUAAUAAGCUGGAAGUCGUUCAUGACUGGGACAUAUCUGGCAGUUCUGCCAUGACACUGAAGUUAGAAAUCAUGACACUUCAAGAGCCUGAAAAUCAUAAGUAUUUCUUAGCUAUAUGUGCAUAUUUGGCUAAUGAAUAACAUUCUUUGGGGUUACUUAAAAGUAGCAAUAAACUGUUUUUGAUACUAGAUGAACAUCUAGUACUUUCCACAGAGGACUCAGACUCCAAGCCACAGCUGCUGUAAAGGGAAGAGGGCCAGAUUCACUGUGGGUCUUCAGUAACUCUGCUUGGAGAAAAUCACUGUGACUUUGAGAACACAGUGAUUACUACACUUCAUAAUAUUUGAAGACUUCUAAAAUGUCUUGUUGGUAACAGCUGGAGACCUCAAACCAGUAUGUGGGGCACUGCCAACUUUUUUAUAAAUGUUGCUGUCUGAACAUAUUUACCAGGUAAGUAAUUCAGCCUUAUGUCUGAAUGCAGGAAUUUACUAAUCACAGAUUAACUCUAAUGGAGGUAUGUACUAUUUUCCAUUCAUUAUAUCAAUUCACUAUAUCCUUUGGAUUACUGAUGGUCUCAGUAGAAGUAGAUCUGAACAUACCCUGGCUGUAUAUUCCCUCUGAGGUAUUAGGGCUGCUGUGUGCUGAGCUAGCUGUGACUUUAAGUGAUGUUAAUUUAACAACCUGAGUAUUGCAUUUGAGCAGGCUUUCCAUUCUUGUACACCCUCAGUUCCUUAUGUUUCACUGAAAUCAGUUAAAUCAAAUUAUUUUUU